CAGCAGCCGCGGGAAUACCGAGGGUGCGAGCGUUAAUCGGAUUUACUGGGCGUAAAGCGUGCGUAGGCGGCUAAUUGAGUCGGAUGUGAAAUCCCCGAGCUUAACUUGGGAAUUGCAUUCGAUACUGGUUAGCUAGAGUGUGGGAGAGGAUGGUAGAAUUCCAGGUGUAGCGGUGAAAUGCGUAGAGAUCUGGAGGAAUACCGAUGGCGAAGGCAGCCAUCUGGCCUAAUACUGACGCUGAGGUACGAAAGCAUGGGGAGCAAACAGGAUUAGAUACCCGUGUAGUCCCUGUCUCUUAUAC
Molecule: ribosomal RNA, 301 nt
Filed under: uncultured bacterium
Lineage: Bacteria
Description: partial 16S ribosomal RNA
Rfam family: Bacterial small subunit ribosomal RNA
Source: RNAcentral